AGAGUUUGAUCCUGGCUCAGGACGAACGCUGGCGGCGCGCCUAACACAUGCAAGUCGAACGGAGUUAUGUUGGUUGAAGUUUUCGGAUGGAUACCGACAUAACUUAGUGGCGGACUGGUGAGUAACGCGUGAGGAACCUGCCUUCCAGAGGGGGACAACAGUUGGAAACGACUGCUAAUACCGCAUGAUAUAUUUGAGGGGCAUCCCUUGGAUAUCAAAGAUUUAUCGCUGGAAGAUGGCCUCGCGUCUGAUUAGCUAGUAGGCGGGGUAACGGCCCACCUAGGCGACGAUCAGUAGCCGGACUGAGAGGUUGACCGGCCACAUUGGGACUGAGAUACGGCCCAGACUCCUACGGGAGGCAGCAGUGGGGAAUAUUGGGCAAUGGGCGCAAGCCUGACCCAGCAACGCCGCGUGAAGGAAGAAGGCUUUCGGGUUGUAAACUUCUUUUGUCAGGGAACAGUAGAAGAGGGUACCUGACGAAUAAGCCACGGCUAACUACGUGCCAGCAGCCGCGGUAAUACGUAGGUGGCAAGCGUUGUCCGG
Molecule: ribosomal RNA, 543 nt
Filed under: uncultured bacterium
Lineage: Bacteria
Description: bacterial SSU rRNA
Rfam family: Bacterial small subunit ribosomal RNA
Source: RNAcentral